CGCGCGUCUGUGUCGCUUACCCUCCUCCCAGCCCCUCUGUCAUUUCAAACACGUAACCGCGAACAGAGUCGAGCGAGAGAGAUAGCCAUGGCGAUUUGGAGCUCCGCCUCGACGCUCGAUCCAGUGUUUUGGUGGUGACUCGUCCGUGCUCUACCUCGUGCUGCCCCGCUUCCUCUGCCUCCGUUCUGUUCCUGCCGGCGAGAUCUGCGGCAUCUCUCGGCCCCGCACCGACCCGUCCCCAUUUCCGCCGCUGUUGAUUUUGUUCGUCGGAUUCGCCAUGGCGAUUUGGAGCUCCCCUCGCCCCUCCUUCACGUUCUUGGUUGUAAUUAUCCCCUAUCCCCUAUAUCAUCCCCUGCAUUUUUUUCUUCUGAUUUCUAGAUCCGGCGGAUUAGUAUUCUUGUCUAUUGGUCAUUUCUGGGCUUUUUUGUUGCGGAUGUAGCGUUUGAUGUAGAUGUAGCGGUGGAUCUCUCUAUCUUUUUAAUAUCUGCUUAUCCUGUCAUUUGAUUUUGAUGCCCCCUGUACUGGGUGUUGUUUCAUCCCUAUGGGCGUCUGAUAGGUGUAUGAUUCCACUGGUUGUUUCAAUUCAGCUAGCCUAUUUCAUGUGGAUGUAGGAUGCAGAUGCUUAAUCCCCUGGUUGUUGAGUCUCAUGGUCUGUAGUUGGGGUUUCUCGAUUAUGUGUCCAUUUUUUUGUGUGAUUUGACUAAUCUCCUCCCUCUGAUCACAAUUACUUAGCCUUAUUAGUUUACCAAAUCUCCUUCUCCACCUAUCUGUUCAUGAUUUUGUCUACACUCGUAGUUGCUGCAUUGAGUUGUUCAUUGUUAGUUGGUCGCAGUGUAACUUGCAGUCAUAUUUUUCAGUGUAACUUUCAGUGAUUAGCACUAAAAUUUCCAGUAUUUUUGGUGCAACUUACAGUGAUUUGCACUGAAAUUUCCAGUGUAAGUUUCAGUGGAAUUUUCAAUUUAAUUACAUUGUAGUCCAGUGUAAUUGUGUAGUGGUGUACAACCCUGUAACUUACAGUGUACAUUACACUAGUUUCAAUGUAUUUUCGUUGUAAUUUUGAAGUAAUGUGUAACUUACAGUGAUUUACUCUGAGUUUUCCAGUAUUUUGGUGCAACUUAUAGUGAUAUUUUCAGUGUAACUUGGAGUUUCCAGUAUUUUUUAGUGUUACUUACAGUGAUUUGCACUGAAAUUUCCAGUAUAAUUUUCUGUGCAAUUUCAGUUUAAUUAUGUUAUAGUCCAGCGUAAUUGCAUAGUGCUUUACAACCAUGUAGCUUAGCAUACUUUUGUACUGGAAUUUCCAGUGUAAAUUUCAGUGUUUUCACAAUGUAAUUGUCUAAUUUACUAGCAAUGUCCUGUGACUUACAUUACUCUGCACUGAAAAUCCCAGUGUAAAUUUGAUUGUAAAUUGAUUGUAUUUACUGUGUAAUUACACUGUAUUAUCAGUGCACUUAUACUGUUAAUCACAGUGUAAUUUCAGUAAAUUACAAUGUUAUCCUAGUGAUUACAUUUACACGUGGUGCUUCCUGUGUAGCCGUGGCAUAUUUUAGGUGGUCUUUUUGUGUGUCUUAGUUGCAGUCCUGAUUGAUUUCUAUGAUUUUUAGUUAGUUAUUAUGUAAGUGGUUCUCUCUGUAAUAUAUUCUUUUUGUGAAUGAUAGAAAUGAUUUAGUUUACUGUGUCUGUUAGUCUCUGGAGGGUGUUCAUUCAGCUGUUGUUAUUAGUUUACUAUCAUAAUCAUUUGACCAUCGUUAGUGAAGCAAAUGGGCAGAUUGAUGAAGGGUUGUGAGCAGGGAACCCAUGACCUUUCUCCUGAUGACAGUGUAGAUUCUUCAGAGAAACCUUUUAUCCCCGACGACUAUGCUGAUGAUGAUUGUUUCAAAGUGUCACAGGUUUAAAUUUUUCUUUUCAAUAGACUGUCCUGCUUGUUUUGAUUUUCCUGCACCCUAGUUUUAACUAAGUUUCAUUUUGCUUUUUCCAAGUUUUGUCUACGGAUGAUGGCAUUUUAGACUAGGCAUUGUUUGAUUUCUAUGUGAAUCAUGUAAGUAAUUAGUUAUUGUUCUCUUCAGUUCUCACUCAUGUUUUGUUUCAUUUCGUGUUGGUAGCUCCUAGUAUUUUUUUACAGUGCCUCUGAUCUGAACUUACAUUGCCCCUGUAAGUUUUGAUUUUACAUUGUUUCAUUUUUUACAGUGUGCUUCAGUAAGAUUUACUAUUUUGUAUGAUCAAAGUAAAUGUGUUUUCAUUUACUGUAAGUUUUGGUAGCUCAUAGCAAUCUUUUUACAGUGCUUCUGAUCUGAUUUUACAAUGUGCUUCAGCAAGAUUUACAGUUCUAUGAUCAAAGUAAACAAUGGUGUCAUUUAUUGUAAGUUCUGGUAGCUCCUAGUAUUUUGUUUACAGCGCCUAUGAUCUGAUUUUAUAGUGUGUUCUGGCUAUGGUUAGAGUAUUUUUUUAGUUUGAUUUUUUACGGUGCUAUUGAUGAAUUUCUUACAGUGUGCUUUUUUUAACUUCUACUAUUAUUUUAUCACAUUAAUUGGUUUUUUCAUUUUCUAUGAAGUCUGAGAUUUUGAUAGUGUGCUUUUCACCAUCUUGCAGUGCACUAUUCUCAUCUAGUUCCAUGUUUCUUCUUUUUGUUGUCUUCAGACCAUGAAACUCGUUGGAGUUGUUCAGUCUCACAAACAAUGCUGACAAACCCAAGAUUUUUCAAGGAUGCUGACAAGCCUUGUUAUCAAAGUGUUGGAUUGCUUAGUUGGGUCCUCUUUCAAAGUUAGUGACGGUUUUUCCCCAAGAUUGAAUGCUGAAGUUGAUUUCCAAAAUAUAUCAUCUACUCCAACUUUGAAAUUUUCCAACAGUGAGCAGUACUAUUCAAGGAAGAAAUCUGCAGAUUAGCAGAGAGUAUCAUGUUAUCAUUUUUUUUUCUUAUGUAUCUUUAUUUGUUCAAGCUUUAAGUAAUGUUUUUGUUUUGUAAAAUUUAACCUUCUGUAAAUGAUCAAAAUGAAGUCCAGAAUGUUUGAAAGGCCGACACCAAUUUAUGCAUUAUUUGGUUCA
Long non-coding RNA from Triticum aestivum (bread wheat), 3039 nucleotides. RefSeq lists it as uncharacterized. NCBI's taxonomy places the organism in Eukaryota, Viridiplantae, Streptophyta, Magnoliopsida, Poales, Poaceae. The transcript is spliced from 2 exons. The record is from RefSeq and is a predicted model, not a curated record.